AGUGAGCGGCAGAGCUCAGAUUUGAAUCGUGCUUUGCGGCACGAGUUGUAGAUUGCAGGUUGGAGUCUGUGUGGAAGGCGGUGUCCAAGUCCCUUGGAACAGGGCGCCCAGGAGGGUGAGAGCCCCGUGGGAUGCCGGCGGAAGCAGUGAGGCCCUUCUGACGAGUCGAGUUGUUUGG
This 178-nucleotide ribosomal RNA is filed under the name uncultured Pichia. RNAcentral's name for it is "partial 26S ribosomal RNA". The record is from RNAcentral. Lineage: Eukaryota; Fungi; Ascomycota; Saccharomycetes; Saccharomycetales; Saccharomycetaceae.